This 237-nucleotide ribosomal RNA is filed under the name uncultured bacterium. RNAcentral describes it as "partial 16S ribosomal RNA". It matches the Rfam family "Bacterial small subunit ribosomal RNA", at positions 524 to 758 of the family's 1533-position model. The record is from RNAcentral.
UACGGGGGGAGCAAGCGUUGUUCGGAUUUACUGGGCGUAAAGGGCGCGUAGGCGGUCGUGACAAGUCACUUGUGAAAUCUCCGGGCCUAACGUCGGAACGGUCAAGUGAUACUGUCGGACUAGAGUACAGAAGGGGCAACUGGAAUUCUCGGUGUAGCGGUGAAAUGCGUAGAUAUCGAGAGGAACACCUGCGGCGAAGGCGGGUUGCUGGGCUGAUACUGACGCUGAGGCGCGAAA